This 254-nucleotide ribosomal RNA is filed under the name uncultured bacterium. Its description in RNAcentral is "partial 16S ribosomal RNA". It matches the Rfam family "Bacterial small subunit ribosomal RNA", at positions 524 to 776 of the family's 1533-position model. The record is from RNAcentral.
CACGUAGGCACCAAGCGUUGUCCGGAUUUAUUGGGCGUAAAGAGCUCGUAGGCGGUUCGGUAAGUCGGGUGUGAAAACUUUGGGCUUAACCCAAAGACUGCAUCCGAUACUGCUGUGACUUGAGUCCGGUAGGGGAGUGGGGAAUUCCUGGUGUAGCGGUGGAAUGCGCAGAUAUCAGGAGGAACACCGGUGGCGAAGGCGCCACUCUGGGCCGGUACUGACGCUGAGGAGCGAAAGCGUGGGGAGCGAACAGG